GCAGACACAUUCCAGCCAAUCAGCAGCAGACCCUCCCUCCCAGACCCUCCCACCUCCUGGACAGCAUCCAUUUUACAUUCAUUGUGAAGCUGCAUUCUUAGUGAGCUGUCCAGGAGGUGGGAGGGUCUGAGAGGGAGUGUCUGCUGCUGAUUGGCUGGAAUGUGUCUG
Molecule: microRNA precursor, 168 nt
Filed under: Pelobates cultripes (western spadefoot toad)
Lineage: Eukaryota; Metazoa; Chordata; Amphibia; Anura; Pelobatidae
Source: RNAcentral